RNAcentral lists this long non-coding RNA (496 nucleotides) under Anas platyrhynchos platyrhynchos (common mallard). RNAcentral describes it as "lncRNA (ENSAPLG00000026999.1)". The record is from RNAcentral. Lineage: Eukaryota; Metazoa; Chordata; Aves; Anseriformes; Anatidae.
AUUUCAUUUAUUACCUUAAAUAAACCAAACUAUUUUAGUCUUCUACUGCAGGAUAGCCUUUCUGUUUGCCUAAUCAUCCUAAUGUCACCUUUAUGUUCAUUUUUGCAGAUAUUACACUUCCAGUUUAAACUGUCCAGAUGUAUACUGUUUAAAAUAUGCAUGCUUCUCUUAUUCAUCUGAGCACUCCAGCUGUGAAAAUCCAGGCACAUGUUAUCAGUCAAACAAAAUGGAGAAACAUCAUAUUCACACUCUGGGCAGAAAAAUCUUUGUGAGGUGAAGGUGCUCUGAUCUUUGGCAUAGUCUAAUAUAACUUGCUUUGAUCCCCAAUAGCCACAGUCAAUUUUCCAGCACGGUGAUACACCAUGGAAGAGUCUGUACAGGUAGGAGGAGUUAGAAGUGGGUUUGGGGAGUGUAAAUUGUAAAUGAAAUUGGCCAAAUCAUAUUCAAGUUUGGAGGAGUGAAUUUGUGGGGAGACCAAGGACUGCCACAAGUCAUG